GCUCUCGUGGUGUAGUGGUUAUCACGUCUGCUUUACACGCAGAAGGUCCCAGGUUCGAGCCCUGGCGGGAGCA
RNAcentral lists this transfer RNA (73 nucleotides) under Portunus trituberculatus (swimming crab). RNAcentral describes it as "tRNA-Val". It matches the Rfam family "tRNA". Rfam says of the family: Transfer RNA (tRNA) molecules are approximately 80 nucleotides in length. The record is from Rfam by way of RNAcentral. Lineage: Eukaryota; Metazoa; Arthropoda; Malacostraca; Decapoda; Portunidae.